RNAcentral lists this unclassified non-coding RNA (1409 nucleotides) under Hevea brasiliensis (rubber tree). The record is from RNAcentral. Lineage: Eukaryota; Viridiplantae; Streptophyta; Magnoliopsida; Malpighiales; Euphorbiaceae.
UUUUUUUUUUUUUAUCUGAGGGUUUUAGUGGUUUCUAAUACCUUUAUGUAAUUAUGUUAUGCAAGAGUAUGGUUAAAGAUUAUUGGAAAGAGAAGGACAUGGAAAAACAAAAGGGCCAAGAAAAGGAUUAUAUGCAAAAGGGAAACGAGAAAAAUUUGAGGGCAGAUAGAUCUAUAACAAGGGCCCCUGCUAAUGGUCUUACUCUUGCUUUUUGAAGUUGUAAUUUUAAAGAAAGUGCUUUCAAAUAGGGCAAAAACAGGAAAAACUAUUUUUACAUUUAUGCAAAACUUGGUCAAUUCUCUGUCUAAGGUGCUUGACUGGGUGUGUAACAUGAGCAAAUCAGAGAGGUCCCUUGGUCUACAGGAUCUUUUGGCAAGUAUAUUUGCGGUGUGCAGCUGUGCACAGCUCAGCAGCUUGAUGAGCUUCUGUUUAAAAGCCUGACCUUGUCAAUACUGUUAAAAGCACAAUUGAAGCACCUUUCAGAGUACAUUGUCCUGUGUUAAUUGAGUUGCCUCUAUGGCAUCUUAGUUUAGUUGGCCAGUUGAGUAUGGCUAAUCUUCUCUGGCAUUUGACUCCAAAAGUUUGCCCCUCUGGCAUAUAAAACUGUGGAUUAAAUUGCAGCUGUGAUCAUUAUAUGUUGUGGCCAAAGUAUAAUGCUUGCAGCUGGUGCUAUUGUGAGAAUUUUCUUAAAACUAGCUUGAAAAGAAGGGGUAUGUAUACAUAUUGUGUGAUGGUUGAAACAGACUUUUCCACUUGUUAUUCUCAUGUGUCUAUCACAGAACAGCCUGCAACAUACUGUAGGACAAAAAAAUGGAUAUGUAACAGACAUUAUGUUUUCUACUGGCCGUUAUAUGAAACCCGGUAUAAACUAUUGAGACACAAGGAAAGAUCAUUGAGCUUUGGAAUAAAGAAGUUGUGGGAAUUAGGAUGUAUUUUUUUUUGGAAAAUCUGGUUAACUGUUUUGCAUUGUAAGGUGCAGAAUUCUUAGAAAGGCCAUCAUUGUCAAGGAGGCAAACCCGUGAUUCUUUUGGGAAAGAGAGGACUGUAUUCUUCAAGAUUAGUUGAUGUAUUAAAUGAAGAAGCAAAGGUUCAGUUUAUCAUGUGAUUCGAAGACAUGGAAUUGCAUUGGGUUUUGUUUCUCAUGCUUGCAUACUAACUUGUAUUUUCUGUGCUUGGUUUUGCUUAAUUUAAUAAUUCCCCAUCUUGGCAGAUCUUUCUUGAGUCAUGUAUCUUUCGUUGCUUUCUUUUGAGAUGAUAUGUUUAUACUUUCCAAAUAUUUUUGUGAUAAUAUUAAAUUCCUAGUCAUGCUUGACAUGUUAAAUGUUCUGUAUUCUUAAUAGUUUCAAAUUUGAUUCUGAGCUUUUCCUUUCUCACUGCAGUCUAGGCAAAAGGCACUGGCAGACCUACAG